Molecule: non-coding RNA, 687 nt
Filed under: Pan troglodytes (chimpanzee)
Lineage: Eukaryota; Metazoa; Chordata; Mammalia; Primates; Hominidae
Source: RNAcentral
AGUAGAGACAGGGUUUCACCAUGUUGGCCAGGAUGGUCUCAAUCUCUUGACCUUGUGAUCUGCCUGCCUCAACCUCCCAAAGUGCUGGAAUUACAAGUGUGAGCCACUGCGCCCAGCCCCAUUUCUUAUUUGGUCUGGCCAUCUUCUAAAGAGUUUGAACCUACUGAAGAACUAUCUUGACUGUCUUGAUGAGGGAGCUGAAGAAAUCCUUCACUGGAGUCUGAGCGGAAGUGGAAUCUAUUUUCCUUCUUCUUGAAUUUGGAAUGCUUUUGGCCAAGAGAAAGAGGUGGAAGUGAUGGUCUAACAGUUCCAAGUCUAGGCCUCAAGUUGCCUGUGGACUUCCACUCAGACUCUCAGAGCCCUGCUGGAGGAUGGAGAGACCACAUGGGACAGAGAACGGUUAUCCCACCGAGGCCACCAUAGACCAGCCAGCCCUCAGCGUACAUGCCAGCUAAUUACAGAUGCAGGAGCAAACCCCUGGCCCAUACAUCAGUGAGUAGAUUAGCAUAGAUGCUCAGCAAACUCAGACUCAUUAGGCAAAAAGAAAUGUUUACUGUCCAUUACCACUAAGGUUCUCUCGUUGUUAAAGAGCAUUAUCAGUGUCCAUAGACAACUGAUAAAGCAUAUAUAAAGAAAAGAGAACAAUUUUUUUUGUUUGUUUGUUAGAUGGAGUUUCGCUCUUUCGCC